CACGUAGGGGGCAAGCGUUGUCCGGAUUUAUUGGGCGUAAAGAGCUCGUAGGCGGUUCGGUAAGUCAGGUGUGAAACCUCCAGGCUCAACCUGGAGACGCCACCUGAUACUGCUGUGACUCGAGUCCGGUAGGGGAGCGUGGAAUUCCUGGUGUAGCGGUGAAAUGCGCAGAUAUCAGGAGGAACACCCGUAGCGAAGGCGGCACUCUGGGCCGGUACUGACGCUGAGGAGCGAAAGCGUGGGGAGCAAACAGG
RNAcentral lists this ribosomal RNA (254 nucleotides) under uncultured bacterium. RNAcentral describes it as "partial 16S ribosomal RNA". It matches the Rfam family "Bacterial small subunit ribosomal RNA", at positions 524 to 776 of the family's 1533-position model. The record is from RNAcentral.